This 241-nucleotide ribosomal RNA is filed under the name uncultured bacterium. Its description in RNAcentral is "partial 16S ribosomal RNA". It matches the Rfam family "Bacterial small subunit ribosomal RNA", at positions 15 to 263 of the family's 1533-position model. The record is from RNAcentral.
GAUCAUGGCUCAGGAUGAACGCUAGCGGCAGGCCUAACACAUGCAAGUCGAGGGAGAAGCCUUCGGGCUGAAACCGGCGCACGGGUGCGUAACGCGUAUACAAUCUGCCUUUCACAUAGGGAUAGCCCGAAGAAAUUUGGAUUAAUACCUAAUGGUAUAUAGGAGCGGCAUCGUUUUUAUAUUAAAGCUACGGUGGUGAAAGAUGAGUAUGCGUUCUAUUAGCUAGUUGGAGAGGUAACGG